Molecule: ribosomal RNA, 502 nt
Filed under: uncultured bacterium
Lineage: Bacteria
Description: bacterial SSU rRNA
Rfam family: Bacterial small subunit ribosomal RNA
Source: RNAcentral
AAAUGAAUAGACGGGGGCUCACACAAGCGGUGGAGCAUGUGGAUCAAUUCGAAGCAACGCGAAGAACCUUACCUGGGUUUGACAUGCACGGAUGGUCUCGGGGAAACCUGAGUAAUCUGCCUUCGGGUGAAACGUGCACAGGUGCUGCAUGGCUGUCGUCAGCUCGUGCUGUGAAGUGUCGGGUUAAGUCCCUUAACGAGCGGAACCCUUAUCGUUAGUUGCCAGCGGGUCAUGCCGGGAACUCUAACGAGACUGCCGGCGUUAAGCCGGAGGAAGGCGGGGACGACGUCAAGUCAUCAUGGCCUUUAUGCCCAGGGUGUCACACGUGCUACAAUGGGGUGUACAGAGCGAAGCAAAGCCGCAAGGUAGAGCAAAUCGCAGAAAACAUCCCUCAGUUCGGAUUGAGGUCUGCAACCCGACCUCAUGAAGCUGGAAUCGCUAGUAAUCGCGUAUCAGCCAUGACGCGGUGAAUAUGUUCCUGAGCCUUGUACACACCGCCCGU